Molecule: ribosomal RNA, 2204 nt
Filed under: Escherichia coli
Lineage: Bacteria; Pseudomonadati; Pseudomonadota; Gammaproteobacteria; Enterobacterales; Enterobacteriaceae
Description: partial 23S ribosomal RNA
Rfam family: Bacterial large subunit ribosomal RNA
Source: RNAcentral
GGUUAAGCGACUAAGCGUACACGGUGGAUGCCCUGGCAGUCAGAGGCGAUGAAGGACGUGCUAAUCUGCGAUAAGCGUCGGUAAGGUGAUAUGAACCGUUAUAACCGGCGAUUUCCGAAUGGGGAAACCCAGUGUGAUUCGUCACACUAUCAUUAACUGAAUCCAUAGGUUAAUGAGGCGAACCGGGGGAACUGAAACAUCUAAGUACCCCGAGGAAAAGAAAUCAACCGAGAUUCCCCCAGUAGCGGCGAGCGAACGGGGAGCAGCCCAGAGCCUGAAUCAGUGUGUGUGUUAGUGGAAGCGUCUGGAAAGGCGCGCGAUACAGGGUGACAGCCCCGUACACAAAAAUGCACAUACUGUGAGCUCGAUGAGUAGGGCGGGACACGUGGUAUCCUGUCUGAAUAUGGGGGGACCAUCCUCCAAGGCUAAAUACUCCUGACUGACCGAUAGUGAACCAGUACCGUGAGGGAAAGGCGAAAAGAACCCCGGCGAGGGGAGUGAAAAAGAACCUGAAACCGUGUACGUACAAGCAGUGGGAGCACAGAGCAAUCUGUGUGACUGCGUACCUUUUGUAUAAUGGGUCAGCGACUUAUAUUCUGUAGCAAGGUUAACCGAAUAGGGGAGCCGAAGGGAAACCGAGUCUUAACUGGGCGUUAAGUUGCAGGGUAUAGACCCGAAACCCGGUGAUCUAGCCAUGGGCAGGUUGAAGGUUGGGUAACACUAACUGGAGGACCGAACCGACUAAUGUUGAAAAAUUAGCGGAUGACUUGUGGCUGGGGGUGAAAGGCCAAUCAAACCGGGAGAUAGCUGGUUCUCCCCGAAAGCUAUUUAGGUAGCGCCUCGUGAAUUCAUCUCCGGGGGUAGAGCACUGUUUCGGCAAGGGGGUCAUCCCGACUUACCAACCCGAUGCAAACUGCGAAUACCGGAGAAUGUUAUCACGGGAGACACACGGCGGGUGCUAACGUCCGUCGUGAAGAGGGAAACAACCCAGACCGCCAGCUAAGGUCCCAAAGUCAUGGUUAAGUGGGAAACGAUGUGGGAAGGCCCAGACAGCCAGGAUGUUGGCUUAGAAGCAGCCAUCAUUUAAAGAAAGCGUAAUAGCUCACUGGUCGAGUCGGCCUGCGCGGAAGAUGUAACGGGGCUAAACCAUGCACCGAAGCUGCGGCAGCGACGCUUAUGCGUUGUUGGGUAGGGGAGCGUUCUGUAAGCCUGCGAAGGUGUGCUGUGAGGCAUGCUGGAGGUAUCAGAAGUGCGAAUGCUGACAUAAGUAACGAUAAAGCGGGUGAAAAGCCCGCUCGCCGGAAGACCAAGGGUUCCUGUCCAACGUUAAUCGGGGCAGGGUGAGUCGACCCCUAAGGCGAGGCCGAAAGGCGUAGUCGAUGGGAAACAGGUUAAUAUUCCUGUACUUGGUGUUACUGCGAAGGGGGGACGGAGAAGGCUAUGUUGGCCGGGCGACGGUUGUCCCGGUUUAAGCGUGUAGGCUGGUUUUCCAGGCAAAUCCGGAAAAUCAAGGCUGAGGCGUGAUGACGAGGCACUACGGUGCUGAAGCAACAAAUGCCCUGCUUCCAGGAAAAGCCUCUAAGCAUCAGGUAACAUCAAAUCGUACCCCAAACCGACACAGGUGGUCAGGUAGAGAAUACCAAGGCGCUUGAGAGAACUCGGGUGAAGGAACUAGGCAAAAUGGUGCCGUAACUUCGGGAGAAGGCACGCUGAUAUGUAGGUGAAGUCCCUCGCGGAUGGAGCUGAAAUCAGUCGAAGAUACCAGCUGGCUGCAACUGUUUAUUAAAAACACAGCACUGUGCAAACACGAAAGUGGACGUAUACGGUGUGACGCCUGCCCGGUGCCGGAAGGUUAAUUGAUGGGGUUAGCGCAAGCGAAGCUCUUGAUCGAAGCCCCGGUAAACGGCGGCCGUAACUAUAACGGUCCUAAGGUAGCGAAAUUCCUUGUCGGGUAAGUUCCGACCUGCACGAAUGGCGUAAUGAUGGCCAGGCUGUCUCCACCCGAGACUCAGUGAAAUUGAACUCGCUGUGAAGAUGCAGUGUACCCGCGGCAAGACGGAAAGACCCCGUGAACCUUUACUAUAGCUUGACACUGAACAUUGAGCCUUGAUGUGUAGGAUAGGUGGGAGGCUUUGAAGUGUGGACGCCAGUCUGCAUGGAGCCGACCUUGAAAUACCACCCUUUAAUGUUUGAUGUUCUAACGU